UAAUGAUGUACAACUCGUUAAUCAGCAAACCAAAGACAAAUUCAUUGGAAACCAUUCACCGUAGGGAUUCUCUAUUUUGGUCUUUAAUUCUGCUAAUCCUAUUUUCCAACUGAUUUUAUCGCUCCCUAAUUGCAGUCGAUUGGCGUGGGAACACGAAUGACCAUAGUAGGCCACUUUAACCCGGUCUACUCCGUUUAACUCAAGUCUGUUAAGAUUCUAACGUCACGGUAUACCAUGUAAAUCCGAUAUGUCUAGUUUAAGUCAUGCUCUGCUACCUUUCUUUACUCACAGUAGGCCAACUAAACCUCUUUUAAGUGAAGUCCUUUGUUUCUAUGGCAUAACAAGCGUUUUAAAUCUGGUCUAUCGCCAGGUAGGUCAGUUUAAAUGUUUAUUUCUUCUGGUUGGUACUCGCUUCACUUUCGGAAUGGAGCAUCAAACGAGCAAGACACCUUAAUUCCCGAUGUCGGCAUUGACUGUUGUUUACGCGGCAUGUCUACAGUACAUGACAUCUUCCGCCAUUACCAACACACGGAGUAGGGCUUAACGAAUUCGACCAAAACUCUGUUUCAGAAAAUUAAGAAUAUAAUUCUCAGUUUUGUAUAAAAAUUGAGUUUGAAACAGUUACGAGAAGCGCGAUAAAUGUCAACAACUUCAAGUGCGUUUGUUAAGGAAAAGAAGGA
Centruroides sculpturatus (bark scorpion) is the source of this 680-nucleotide long non-coding RNA. RefSeq lists it as uncharacterized. The record is from RefSeq and is a predicted model, not a curated record. NCBI's taxonomy places the organism in Eukaryota, Metazoa, Arthropoda, Arachnida, Scorpiones, Buthidae. The transcript has 3 exons.